UUUCUCUUCUGUUUAUUGGCUUGUGGUAGUUACAAUGGUCUUCGAGCUUUCCUUUCGGGGUUUCAGGAACUAGGUUGUUUCUCUGGGUUUUCUGGGUCAAAUCAGGCAAGAGCUUAGAGAUUGAGGAGAUAUUUUCUUGUAGCUAUAAGGGAGAUUUGAUUGAUGAUGAGAAAUUUUGUUUGAUGCUUGGUCCUUGUUCUCAAUCUGCUCCGCUUGUAAUUGUUUGAUCCCAAUCAAGAAAUAUAAUUACUUGUGUAAAAUAAGGUAAUUAUAUUUCUUGAUUGGAAACCAUCAAGUAGUAUUUAGUUGAUUUGUGGUAUGAGAUUAAUGGUGUGAAUUAGGAUGGAAGGAUUCACAGGUGUAAUGAUUAAAUUGUCGGUUUCAAAUAAUUCGAUUUGGAAAUCGAAAAUUGAGAACCUUCUUUAUUGUAAGGAUAUUAAUUGGAUCAUGUGAAUUAAUUUGGUAAUUAUUUUAAUUUACACAAGUGAUUAUUUUGGAAGACCCAACAAUGAUUUCGUCGUGCCCUCGUUUCUGAUUCUGUAAGAAAAAUUGAAGAAUGAUGGGAAAUUCUGCUUGGUACUUGAUUCUCCUGUGAGCCAUUUCAUGUAUAGAAAGAUCUGGGUUCCUCUAAAAUCUUAUAGUGAAGCAAUACUUAGUUGUUCAGAGCUUGAUAUCUAUUUUCUGCUAUCUGGGUGUCAUUGCUUUAUGCAGUAUAAGCUUUGGCUCUUAAGCUUAGGUUUGACCCUGGCUCAGUUGGUACAGGCUUUAUCUGUUGCUCUUGGAACUCAAAGUUGAUUUUGGGAUGUGAAUUUAUCUCUGUGGUGGUCACAAAACUUUGGUUGCUGUUAUUUUUGCUGCUAAUUUAUUGUGGAUAAGCCUUCAAUUUUCAUGUUGUAAGUAACAAUAUUUGGUUUCAAACCCUGUGCCUCUAAUUAAUCUAAAAGAUAAAUGGUUCUUGUGUGAGGCCAUUCCUAGCUAACCUUCCAGCAAGUAUGUAGUAAGUUAUUCCUCUUCCUUCAUUUCCUGUAACAAAUUAGAAGCAUCAACUAGUUUUUCCAGAGGACAGUACCCCUGAAUCCAGGGUUCGUGGUUGAUGACAUAAGGGACAACCAUUUAUAUAGGCAUCUAAUUGAUAAACUGCAAUAGCUUUUCUUAUGUUUUCAUUUAUUGCAAGUUUUUGGGUUGGAUUAUAUGUAAUCUAUGGAUUUUAUGGUUCUAUUUUGUGUGUCUAGGUUUAUUCACUGAAACAUUAGAGAACUCUAUGAUCACAUCUCAUCUUUUCUUUAUAUAUUUAAUUAUAUGGGCUAGGAAAUAGAAACCCUUCUCAUCUGCAAUUCAUUUUUCUCUCUAAAAUUAUACUGCAAGGAUGAUUUGUUUGGCAUCUAGCUCUUCAUUCCUUGAACUUUCCUUUCUUAUUGGGUUUCCUCCAUUGGAUGUUUCUUUGUCUAUUUUGUAUAGAGAUUGGCCAAUUAUUCUUUUGCAAGUUUAGUUGAUCUUUCUCUCUGUGCUUCUUUCUUUCUUCUUCCUUUCAGAGUAUGCCUAAUCCUCCUAUCAUAAUCUUUCUCCUUAGUUACAACUUAUGUCUUUUUAAUCCAAAAAAAUGAUUGGUUUGCUAUAGGAAAACUAUUUGGUGCUUGAGUUUUAUGGAUUAUUCCAAUUUUAUGUUUCUUUGCAGUUGAAACUUAUAAAUUGCUCAAUAUAUUGCACAAGAUGAAGUGAAAUUCUGGAAGUAAUAUGGACAUGAAGAACCCUGCAAUGGGUUUUACGAAGAUUAUCAAAGACAUCAGUUCUUCGACCCUUGUCGAUGAGAUUGCAGUGCUUAUGAUUCACAGCCCUUUGCCUCAUCAGAAUAUCUGAGUGCAGAAAAUGUCUGGGUGAAAUUGUUAAGCCUUUGAUAUAUCCCAUGAAGAAUUGUUAGUUCAUUCAGCUAAAGUUGAAUAAAAUUGUGAAUGCAGGGAUCCAUGGAUGAAUGAUCGGCAUUGGGUCAUCUGACACCAUUCUAGUGUACGCAUCCAUCUCAAAUAAACACAUUUUCAAUUGGGAAAGAAGGAAUUAGAGAAUAUGAAACUUGACACAGAUCUCGCUCAUGACUUCGAUCAAAGAAAAUGAAGAAAUAUUGCUGUUCAGAAGCUCCAAAAGGCG
Molecule: non-coding RNA, 2142 nt
Organism: Carica papaya (papaya)
Lineage: Eukaryota; Viridiplantae; Streptophyta; Magnoliopsida; Brassicales; Caricaceae
Source: RefSeq, a predicted model, not a curated record